This 460-nucleotide ribosomal RNA is filed under the name uncultured bacterium. Its description in RNAcentral is "partial 16S ribosomal RNA". It matches the Rfam family "Bacterial small subunit ribosomal RNA", at positions 338 to 795 of the family's 1533-position model. The record is from RNAcentral.
CCUACGGGUGGCAGCAGUGAGGAAUAUUGGUCAAUGGACGGAAGUCUGAACCAGCCAUGCCGCGUGCAGGAAGACGGCUCUAUGAGUUGUAAACUGCUUUUGUACAAGGGUAAACCUGAAUACGUGUAUUCCGCUGAACGUACUGUACGAAUAAGGAUCGGCUAACUCCGUGCCAGCAGCCGCGGUAAUACGGAGGAUCCAAGCGUUAUCCGGAUUUAUUGGGUUUAAAGGGUGCGUAGGCGGAUGGAUAAGUUAGAGGUGAAAUGUCCGGGCUUAACUCGGGAACUGCCUCUAAUACUGUUAGGCUAGAGAGUAGAUGCGGUAGGCGGAAGGUAUGGUGUAGCGGUGAAAUGCUUAGAGAUCAUACAGAACACCGAUUGCGAAGGCAGCUUACCAAGCUAUAUCUGACGUUGAGGAACGAAAGCGUGGGGAGCAAACAGGAUUAGAUACCCGAGUAGUC